AACCUAUGGUGAGGGCUCCAUCUCAAUAAGUCUUUAUACCUUUCCGAUGCAUCAUAUAGGGUCUCUAAAUCAAUCUAAACAAAAGAAGAGAUAUCAUUCCUCAACUU
Non-coding RNA from Gossypium hirsutum (cotton), 107 nucleotides. The record is from Rfam. Lineage: Eukaryota; Viridiplantae; Streptophyta; Magnoliopsida; Malvales; Malvaceae.